CCUACACAUGCAAGUCGAGCGGAUGAGUGGAGCUUGCUCCAUGAUUCAGCGGCGGACGGGUGAGUAAUGCCUAGGAAUCUGCCUGGUAGUGGGGGAUAACGUUUCGAAAGGAACGCUAAUACCGCAUACGUCCUACGGGAGAAAGUGGGGGAUCUUCGGACCUCACGCUAUCAGAUGAGCCUAGGUCGGAUUAGCUAGUUGGUGGGGUAAUGGCCCACCAAGGCGACGAUCCGUAACUGGUCUGAGAGGAUGAUCAGUCACACUGGAACUGAGACACGGUCCAGACUCCUACGGGAGGCAGCAGUGGGGAAUAUUGGACAAUGGGCGAAAGCCUGAUCCAGCCAUGCCGCGUGUGUGAAGAAGGUCUUCGGAUUGUAAAGCACUUUAAGUUGGGAGGAAGGGCAGUAAGUUAAUACCUUGCUGUUUUGACGUUACCAACAGAAUAAGCACCGGCUAACUUCGUGCCAGCAGCCGCGGUAAUACGAAGGGUGCAAGCGUUAAUCGGAAUUACUGGGCGUAAAGCGCGCGUAGGUGGUUCAGCAAGUUGGAUGUGAAAGCCCCGGGCUCAACCUGGGAAUUGCAUCCAAAACUACUGAGCUAGAGUACGGUAGAGGGUGGUGGAAUUUCCUGUGUAGCGGUGAAAUGCGUAGAUAUAGGAAGGAACACCAGUGGCGAAGGCGACCACCUGGACUGAUACUGACACUGAUGUGCGAAAGCGUGGGGAGCAAACAGGAUUAGAUACCCUGGUAGUCCACGCCGUAAACGAUGUCGACUAGCCGUUGGGAUCCUUGAGAUCUUACUGGCGCAGCUAACGCGAUAAGUCGACCGCCUGGGGAGUACGGCCGCAAGGUUAAACUCAAAUGAAUUGACGGGGGCCCGCACAAGCAGUGGAGCAUGUGGUUUUAAUUCAAAGCAACACAAACAACCAUAACUGUGCUUGACAUGCACAGAACUUUCCACAAUGAAUUGUGGCUUUCUGUAAAU
This 984-nucleotide ribosomal RNA is filed under the name uncultured prokaryote. RNAcentral's name for it is "bacterial SSU rRNA". It matches the Rfam family "Bacterial small subunit ribosomal RNA", at positions 48 to 1024 of the family's 1533-position model. The record is from RNAcentral.